UGGCCGAUGCUCCCUUCUCGUCCGGCGACGGCGACGGCAGCUCCCGUCGGCCGUCGCGGCGAGUGGGCUAGCAUUCCUCCUCCUGCUCUCCCCCCUUCCCAGGCGGGUUCCUCACCGCUGCGCUCCCGCUCCCACUAUUCUCUCACCAUGGAUAUGGCCGGCUAACCGCCACGGAGCUACCACGUCAGAGAAGGGGAGGACAGGAUCGACAAGGAGGAAGAAAGGAGUCGUGCGGGUUGCUGAGGAUCACGAGGAGGAGGGAUAUGGGGACUAGAUCGGAGUGCGAGUUCAUGGACCAUUGGUUUCCCCAGGUGAUGCUAUGUUUGACUGCUUUGGACUACUUUAUUUGUCCCCACCUCAAUUCUCGAACCAUGAUUUUUCUAUAUGUAUACUUGAUCUGUGUUCAUCAGCAAACAUAAGUAAUUGUUGAAUCUUGUAUCAUCGGAUCAUGCUAGUAUAAGUUUUCUUUUGCUUCCUCGACACUAGAGUAGCACAGAUUUUGAGCCUCAAAAAAGGAUGUAGCUGAUCAUGCAUUUCAUGAACCGGGACGAACUACACACACUCGUCCCUUCAAAACUUUACACAAAAUCCUAGGCUUCAGUUACAUGGCUUGAAAAGUUUUCUGAAGAUGCAAUGGAGUUUGGUGCCUUAAGUUCUCUUUCCAGAUUUGACAGAAAAUUGGACACAAAUAAAUAUUGCAGAAGGCGACUCAAAUACCAAAUCAACAAAUUUCAGUAGUCAAUUUAUCAUAAACUUUCGGAUCAGGUUACAGAUCAAACUUCUGCAGUAGGCACAUUGAUAAUAAUAGAACGCUUUACAACUCAGCAUAAUUUAUUUCAUAAUUUGGACUUAACUGAACUCAACAUAUGAUGCCUAGCUCGGUGCUCAUCUCCUAUUCAACCCAGCACAUCUCAGAAGAUGAUCCUCCUACCUUGAAGCUUGAAGGAGUCGUCACCCGAUCCUAGCAGCAAGGGUAGUAGGCGACGCAGCGCCUGCGCCGAGGAGGAGUGCACAGCAUCAGCAGCAGCAAGGCGAGGACGAUGGUGACAAGCAGCCCCAGAAGGUUGAACGCCGGCUCAUCAUCUUCCUGGCUGCAGCAUAGCUUGCCCAUGUUAGCUGUUACAAAGGGCGGAGCGAUGAGCUUUUGGUAGGAUGGGGAUGAAGGAGGCGAGGGGAGCAAUUAAAGGCUUCUUGGCUGUGGAAUUUCUUUAUGCCGACGACUCUGGAUGGAAGGUCUUUCUAUUCUAUGGUAUAUGGUAUGUCUGAUAUGAAUCUUAUUAGCUUUUGGGCUUUGUUUUGUGGCUGUGUGGGGCUAGUUGUUGAGACAUCACUAUCUGCCUUUCCAUAUUAUAGUUUAUUUUUCUUCUUUGUCCUUUUGGUUGAAGAUGAGACAACUCAUUCAACCAAUCAAUUACACACCAACUAGUACCACUACCACCCAAUCAGGAUAAAUUUUGUUACAGGCACAUCAGUAGGAAUGUUAUAUGAUUUAACUGGCAUCAGCUUCCUGCUUUUCCUUUCAGUAUAUCCUGGUCAAAUUCAUAUUCUUCUGAUCUGUACUGUCAUUAUCAAGUGUUAAUUUGAUUAUAUUGACACCGUAAUCCACAUUGGUAGCAUGUGCUGAUACUGGUGGAAGGCCAUGUUGUCUUCAACAAUUUGCUGUUUUUUUUUUCCAGUGCUGCUAUGCGUCGUGUAUGGGUUUUUCCUCUCAAAUUUUGCUUCAUUCACAGGACACUGUCAGAUCUAUCGAUAGCAUAUCUAUUGUGGGCCAUCAACAUCAACUUGAAUUCUG
RNAcentral lists this long non-coding RNA (1792 nucleotides) under Sorghum bicolor (sorghum). Its description in RNAcentral is "long non-coding RNA (SBIC_LNC005855)". Lineage: Eukaryota; Viridiplantae; Streptophyta; Magnoliopsida; Poales; Poaceae. The record is from RNAcentral.